UUGUCGUCAGCUCGUGUCGUGAGAUGUUGGUUAAGUCCGCACGAGCGCAACCCCUAUUGUUAGUUGCCAUCAUUCAGUUGGGCACUCUAGCGAGACUGCCGGUAAUAAACCGGAGGAAGGUGGGGAUGACGUCAAAUCAUCAUGCCCCUUAUGACCUGGGCUACACACGUGCUACAAUGGUUGGUACAACGAGUUGCGAGUCGGUGACGGCGAGCUAAUCUCUUAAAGCCAAUCUCAGUUCGGAUUGUAGGCUGCAACUCGCCUACAUGAAGUCGGAAUCGCUAGUAAUCGCGGAUCAGCACGCCGCGGUGAAUACGUUCCCGGGCCUU
This 329-nucleotide ribosomal RNA is filed under the name uncultured Streptococcus sp. Its description in RNAcentral is "bacterial SSU rRNA". It matches the Rfam family "Bacterial small subunit ribosomal RNA", at positions 1049 to 1382 of the family's 1533-position model. The record is from RNAcentral. Lineage: Bacteria; Bacillati; Bacillota; Bacilli; Lactobacillales; Streptococcaceae.